AGCCCAACGAGAUCGGGAUAACACCUGGAAACAGAUGCUAAUACCGGAUAACAACAGAUGAUGCCUAUCAACUGUUUAAAAGAUGGUUCUGCUAUCACUCUUGGAUGGACCUGCGGUGCAUUAGCUAGUUGGUAGGGUAACGGCCUACCAAGGCGAUGAUGCAUAGCCGAGUUGAGAGACUGAUCGGCCACAUUGGGACUGAGACACGGCCCAAACUCCUACGGGAGGCAGCAGC
RNAcentral lists this ribosomal RNA (235 nucleotides) under uncultured Lactobacillus sp. Its description in RNAcentral is "partial 16S ribosomal RNA". It matches the Rfam family "Bacterial small subunit ribosomal RNA", at positions 127 to 355 of the family's 1533-position model. The record is from RNAcentral. Lineage: Bacteria; Bacillati; Bacillota; Bacilli; Lactobacillales; Lactobacillaceae.